CCAGUCUGAACAACAGGGAGAAAAAAUACUGGAAAAAAAUUAACAGAGCUUCAGAGAUAUGUGGGACAAUACAGUUUUUUUUUUUUUUUAAUCUACGAUUGGUGUAAUUGGAGUCCUAGUAGAGCAGUGUGGGGCUGCAGAAGUUUUCAAGGAACUAAUGGCUAUGUCCCACAUUUGGGGGAAGGCAAGAGCCUACAGAUUCAGGAAUCUGAACAAACCCCAAAGAGGAUAAACCCAAAGAAAUACAUGCCAAGGCACCUCAGAGUCAGACUUUUGAGAACUCAACAAGAUCUUAAGAGCAGCAGGAGACGAUGCAUUUCCCUCCAGGGAAAAACAAUUCGAAGGGUAGCAGUUCCUCAUCAGCAGUCACAGAGGCCAGAUCACACAGCAUCAUUUUUCACAUACUGAAAGAAGGAAAAUCUAUACCCCAAAUUCUAUACUCAGUGAAGAUAUCCUUUAGGAUAUGAAGCUAAAAUCAGACAUUUUGACAUGAAGGAAAACUAAGAUAAUUUGUUGCCAAGAAAUUAACCCUUAAAGAAUAGCAAACUAAUAGAAGUUCUUCAAAGAAGGGAUGUAGGAAUGGAAGGAAACCUGGAACAUCAGGAAUGAGGAACGAACAUAAAGAGUAAAAAUAUGGGUGAAUAUAAUAGAUGAUCCUUUCCCUCUUGAGGAAAUCAUACUCGACAGUUGAAGCCAAAAUUACUGUCUGAUGUGGGUCUCAUUAUAUGUAGAGGAAACAUGUAAGACAAUUAUAUUAUAAAAGAACCUAGGUGGAGGUAAAGUUUCUACACUUAUUUGAAAAGUAAAAUGUCAAUACCAGUAGGCUGUGAUAAGUUACAGGUUAUAAUAUGAUGCCUAGAGCAACCACUAGAAAAUCUAUAUCAAGAGAUGUACUCAAAAACACUGCUGAUAAAUCAAAGUGGAAUUCAAGCAAUUCACAAGAAGGCAGGAAAUAAAAGAAACAAAUAAUGCAGAUGGCUGAGCCAUACUCCAGACCUACUGAAUCAGAACCUCCAGGACUGGUGCCUGGGAAUAUGGAUUUUUAUUUAGCAACUACUCCUGAGGAUUCCAGUAAUCAGCCAGGCUUGAGAACAUCUGGAGUAGACAAGUAUUUUUUAAACAGCAAGUUGCCAACCUGGCUUUCACCAGUUCUCGGGAUGCCCAUAGGGAUGGGUGAAGCCCGCCUGGCCUGUGGUGCUUCCCAGUGGCCGUCAUCUCACUAG
RNAcentral lists this long non-coding RNA (1223 nucleotides) under Papio anubis (olive baboon). RNAcentral's name for it is "lncRNA (ENSPANG00000037403.1)". Lineage: Eukaryota; Metazoa; Chordata; Mammalia; Primates; Cercopithecidae. The record is from RNAcentral.